GUGGGGAAUAUUGGACAAUGGGCGCAAGCCUGAUCCAGCAAUGCCGCGUGUGUGAAGAAGGUCUUCGGAUCGUAAAGCACUUUCGACGGGGACGAUGAUGACGGUACCCGUAGAAGAAGCCCCGGCUAACUUCGUGCCAGCAGCCGCGGUAAUACGAAGGGGGCUAGCGUUGCUCGGAAUUACUGGGCGUAAAGGGCGCGUAGGCGGCUCUGUGAGUCAGGCGUGAAAUUCCUGGGCUUAACCUGGGGACUGCGCUUGAUACUGCAGGGCUUGAGGCCGAGAGAGGGUGGUGGAAUUCCCAGUGUAGAGGUGAAAUUCGUAGAUAUUGGGAAGAACACCGGUGGCGAAGGCGACCACCUGGCUCGGUACUGACGCUGAGGCGCGACAGCGUGGGGAGCAAACAGGAUUAGAAACCCGGGUAGUCC
This 425-nucleotide ribosomal RNA is filed under the name uncultured bacterium. Its description in RNAcentral is "partial 16S ribosomal RNA". It matches the Rfam family "Bacterial small subunit ribosomal RNA", at positions 354 to 796 of the family's 1533-position model. The record is from RNAcentral.